This 22003-nucleotide long non-coding RNA is filed under the name Xyrichtys novacula (pearly razorfish). Lineage: Eukaryota; Metazoa; Chordata; Actinopteri; Labriformes; Labridae. The record is from RNAcentral.
GGCAGCAAUGAGGCAUGGAGAGAGGAGCAGGCCACCCAAAGAUUUACAGACAUUUAAAGUUUUAUUCAGACACAGCCGGGCAUGUUAAGUACUUUGGCCCGUUCUAUUAUGGCUUUUCCUUGUAACACGCUGCCUGAUGAAUACGAAGGUGUUUUCGGGGAUAAGAGCUGUCCCGCGGGAUCUGGCAUGAUGUAGAUUCUCCCGCGCAUUGUUUCCAGCGAGACAGGAGUCAUCCAUCUCUCCCAGGAUGAGCAGCGGUAAGCCUCAGCGCGGUCACCAGGUAAUGCUUUAACACCUGAGAUUGGCUGCUCUUCCUUCUAUUCAGCCUUUUUCUUCCAUUUCAUCAGCAGCAUGUUCUAAUUUCCCGUUUCCUCCACUCUCACUGUGUUCACGGAUUAGUCUGCUCCCUCCUGGCAGCCCCCUAAAGCAGCGUUUCUUUUUCCAUCACCACUCUGCUUCGUCUUCCCUCCUCUCUUAAAGCGUCUGAAAAUUGUGUUGCAUAUUUAUUCCUGCAGAAUUAGCAUCACAAACACUCUUGCCAGGCUCUUUGUUAUGCUUCAGGGGGAGGGAGAGUGAGGGGAAGUAGAUUACGCUCUUCGUUUCUCUGAGGCACACUCAAAGCGGGCUUUCUAGGCUUCCUCCUGCUUUUCAGCAGAGCUCGGGGCUUAUGGAGACGCACUCCAUCUACUUGAAGUAAAGACGGCUAUGACUUAAAAUAAUGUUGUUCCUCUUCCACUCCUGUUUAACACAUCUCUCUCACUCUCUCAGCCUCACUUUUUCUUUAAGUCUUAUUCUUCUUCUCGCGCUCAUCUGCAGCCUUAUCCCCGCGCUGACACUCGGUCCACUUUAUAUUUCAGUAAAGCUCCACGUUUGACUCAACAGUUUACAGACGGAUUGUUUAAAGUUGGUUUGAAACUUGUUGGUUGUGCUUAUAGUCAGGGGAGGGUGGUGAAGUCAGACAAAGAGUCAAGUGGAUUUAUAGAAAUAUGAGUUUAUUUACUGUUAUAAUAACUCACUCAUCUGCUGGUGAGCUGGGUAAAUUGAUGUGAAAGUUCACAUUUAGUGCAAAUAUUCCCUUGGACUCAUGCAUGAAGUGAGGAGGAUUUGAUGCUUGAAGGUUGAGGGAUCUGUGACCUCACAUGUUUCCUCUUUUACCACGUUGACCUGAAUAUGGACCUCUUUGUAGCCUACGGCAUUAAACCUAUGCAUGAGCAUUUAAUAGUAACAAUUUACUCUGUUUGUUCAGACAGACUUAAAAACUUUAAAUACUGAAUUAAAACUGUAACGAAUCUAACAUCAAAACGUCUAACUGUUGUCUAAUCUGGUGUCUGCAUACACACUGUAAUCAUGGACUUGAAGCUCUGCAGAGAUCAGACAGGAUCAUGACCCCUGGUGUUUUAGUUUCUAAGUGUAUUAACUUUUAUCUGAAUGUGUCAGUAGUUGUCAUGGUUACAACAGCUGUUAAAACACAAAAACAAUCCUUGCAAAUGCAUCCUGGUUUAAUUCUGAAGAAAAUAUCAUUUAUUCCAUAGCCAAUAUUGACAACAGCUAGUAGAGAGUCAGUUAUUGUUGUUUGCAUCUGAUGGUAUACAAUUUUAUGAUAAAAGAAAUAAUUUCAUGCAUUUGAUAAUAUAAUAACCAUACUUAUUUUACCCAGUUACCUAUUUAAAGUAUUUAUUUAAUUUAUUUUUUAAUUAAAUUCAGGAUUUCAUGACUGAUUUUUCUGUCAGAGCAAUAUACUUCGUUAUUCUACACAUGGUCACAGAAUUUGUAAUAAACACAAUCUGUAUCUGCUUAGUAUAUUUCUGUAAAGUGGAGCUACAGUCAUAGAUCAGUUAGGUGAUCUAGUUAGACUACGGUCCUCGUCCCACUCCCUGUCAGUAGUCAGUGAUAUGCUCCCCUUAAGCUAAUUACUACUGGACCAUCUCCUGGGUUGACUUGUAAUGCCACUGACCAAAAUAAUCACCAGACAAGUUAGCAAGAAGCUAACGUGCUGUAUGUUGAACAGUAACAUCACCAACAACUUUACAGCGCUGUACAUUUCAUAGUUAGGAUACAACAGCUCUGUCUUAAUUACAUCCCCUUUGUCUUCUGUUAAGGUUUUGUUUCACUGAGCAGCUUCCUUCAAAGCAUUUUUGCUGUUCAGUUUUGUUGUCAAAGCUUAAUAUGUGAUUUAAUGGGCAUGCUCAGAAGGUUUGGGCUGAUUUCAGGCAGAUAUUUGUGGUUGGGUUACUGUGUUAUCUGGGUACAUUUAGGGUUAUCUAGAGUUUUCCCUGUUUUUAUUGUGUGUUACUAAGCUUCAUAUGCUACGCUGUUGGCUUCUUUAGGUGUCUGCUGGGUUCUUACAUUUGAACCAUCAGUUUUAGCUGAUUUUUUCUUGGGUUUCUGUUUUUCUUUCUUUUUUUCUGCUUUGUUUCAUUUAUACACAUUAUCAAAGCAUGUUUUUUUUUAAGUGCUAUACUACCAGAGUUAUAAUUACUAUUAUUAAUUUGAAAAGAUAAUAAUAAACUGACUUUUUGAAUGACGUGUUAAAUCACUCACUGAUGAAGCAGCCUGCAGUGUCUGCAGAUGCUAUUUGUUUGUGAGUGCAGACAUUGACUGAUGCAAACAGUUGGAUCGUGUGUAAACUGAAGGGGCCUGAUAUAUCAAUUGGUCUUUCUCUGGCCAUACUAGCUGUAGAGAGAUGAAUAAAUAUAUCAAACUCUACAGUCUUUAAUUUAUUCUGUAUAAGGUCUUAAAACAUAGUCUGUGUUUUCUGGAGACUCUCUGUACAUGUGUUCACAAUGUUUGACAUGGCAGACUAAUGAACCCACUGGUCAGGCAUGCUCAUGUGGGUGUUUCUGACUGUUUCUGCAAUGCUGUGUGAACACAGAAAUAUUUAAAACUCUUCUGCUGUGGACAGGAUUUUAGUCUUUUUCUUUUUUAACCAUUGAGGAAAUAGACAACAGGUGUAGUUAUUUUAGUUUGUAUUUAUAGAGUAAAUCAGUGCAGCGUAGUCGUAACACUGAGUCACUUAGAGUAGUGUCCAGACUCGCAAUAGCUCAUUUUAUAGGUUGUUGUGUUUGAAAAUGUUCAUGUGAGUAAAUGAAUUGAUAUCCUGUUUCAUGUAACCGUGAAGUUUGACUUGAGCAUGAACAUGAACAAACAAACAAAAAACAAUAUUUAGUCUUUGACAAAGUCUCAUAAAUAAGUGGGUUAUCUUAAAAUCAGGGACCUCUUCUGUGCAGGUCAAUACUGUAACACAUGAUACAUCUCUGCAGUCCCUAGGAGAAAUUUACAUCCAUCUGGUUUAUGUUUAUUGUUUUGUUGUACAGAACAUGACCAUUACGGACCAUCUCCCCCUCAAAUACCUGCUAGUUCUGCUGCUGGAAGAGUUUAUACACAGUCACAGGCUCUGCACAGACACAAAGAACUACUCUCUGGUAAAAUGGACCCACUGUUAAUGAUUCCUGUCCUGUUAGAUGCACACCUGUUAAUGCUUAUUUUUUGUUGAUAAUAUCCUAAUAAAUCUCAGUCCAGUACUCUGUCACACUCUCAUUCUGCAGUAAACACAGCUGUAACCUUCAACUUCUCUUGGUGGAAGCAAACAACCAUCAAGUUUUACUCAUAUUUCAUUUAGCUUUAAUGCUAAAUGAAGUAGGAUUUCUAGAUUUUUAUUUAGCCAACAAACAAAUGUAACGGUUUAAACUGGGACAAGCUUGAGCCAAUACAGUAGGAAAACACUGUUUGCACAUGACCCAGGUUUUUGAUAUGGUCCCUGAUCAAAGGCUAAAAAUAGUCAAUCCAAAACCAAAAUGAAGAUAAAUACUGAUUGUUUUUGUGGUAACUAUAACCUCAUUUCUGUUCCUCUAUGUUUGAAAUCUGUUUGCAUGAAAACCAGCAUUUUUAGGAAUUGUGAAAUGUUUUCAAAACAUAGUUGUUCUUUUGUGUGUAGGAAUAUUGCAGGAUAUCACAUUAAAACUUAAAAAAAGAACUCUGGCAGUUUAAAAAGAAACUUUAAUCGUGUAAACUUGUCAGUGAUGCAAUAAUGAAGAUUCACUGUUCAGCUAUUAGACACAGUGACGUAUUACUAGAGGAUUGUAACAUCAUAACCACCAGAGAUGAACUUUAAAAGAAAAGAAAAAAAAAGUUUACAGAUACAUUUCCCCGACUGAAACAUUUUUACAUUAGCAAGACAAAUGUCAUACAACGUUUUAAACCUAUUAUUCUUAUUUAUAGUGUGCAGUAUUUGGUUUAAUUGAUCAUAUGCAGACAGUGUGCUUAAAAAGGAGGAGAUAAAAGCAUCACAGCUGAGUUUGGUAAAAGAAAAGUCCAUGUUUAGCUGCUUCAAACCUAAACCUGUUUACUGGACCCCCAAAUGAGAGAGCUUUAAGGUGGACUGGACCCUCCUGAGGGAGGCUUUACCUGGACCGGACUAACCUGAGGGAGCUCUUAGGAGGACUGGACAAACUUUGGAGAGCUUCGAGGUAAACUAUACCCUUGUGAAGGAGCCUUUACCUGGACUGAAAAAAAAAUUAAAAAACUGAGGGAGUUCUUAGAAGGACUGGACACUUCUGGAGGAGAUUUAAGGUGGACAAGACUUUCCUGUGGGGGCUUUAAGAUGGACUAGACACACCUGAAGGGAGCUUUAAUGUGGACUGGAUCCAUCUCAGGGAGUUGUGAUACAGAACAGGCCAGCCUGCAGAAGCUGUGAUGUAGAUUGGACCCACCUGAGUGAGCCAAAGGUGAGCUGGUGCCACCUGAGGAAACUUUGACAUAGACUGGACCCACCAGGGGAAGCUUGGCAUUUAACUGGACCAAUCUGAAGGAGCUUUGUCAUGGAUUGGACAAACUCAAUAAAGCUUUGACCAAGACUGGAAUCACCUAUAGAUAACAUAAGGUUGACUGGACUCUCCUGAAGAGGCGUUAAGAUGGUCUGGACACACCUGAUGGAGACUUGAGAAGGACCAUCAACCGAAGGGAGGUUUAAGGAGGAUUGUACCCACCUAUGAGAGAUUUAAGGUCAACUGCACCAACUUUAGGAAGCAUUUAGGUGGUUUGGAUCUUCCUGAAGGAGCUUUGACGAGAGUUUUAUGUGUAUUCUGGGAAACUUUAGAGGAGCUGUGUAAGCAGUCUUGUGGCUUUACAUGCCAGCUCAUCAUGUGACUUCCCUUAGAGGCAGUAUUUUUGGAAGUACACUGUUUAGAUUUAUGCACAGUGGAUGGUUGGACCCAAUUUUUUACUAUUAUUAGAACCUCAAUGACAAGUAUCUGAACCUUUAUUAAAGUAAAGAUUUUGCAGACUUGUAUCAACUCUGAUUCCCACAUUGUUUGUUAAUCCUGUAGUCUUCUACAGAGAUCACAACCGAUCAGUCGAUGAAUCAUGAUUUCUGUUAGGACCAGUUUCAAAGCCAGAAGAAAUCCAGGAACUAUCCAGGAAUUUGUGUCUUUGCAGUGUGUCAGCAAGUGUGCUUUUGGUGUGUGUGUGAAUGUGUAUGUAUGUGUGCGUCUGCACCAACAUAAGUCUGUCCUUUGAGUCUGCAGGAAACCACAGGGGAGAGCUUGCAGCCCACCAGGCUAAAUGAUCCUGACAGUGCUGAGGCCCCAGGGUCAGAGGGGUCUGUCCCAAGACACGCACAGUCUCAAGCAGAGCCCCCCCUACUCACUCCCUCCACCUCCGUCUAAUCGGCAUGCUGCAGGCAUCCUAAGCUCUGUCUAUACCUCCAUCCUUCCUCAUCAGCCUCCAGUCAUCCUGGUAAACUCCUCACCUGACCCUGAUUUACCCCCGCCCUGCUUGUCUCGUGUUCUCCGCAGAAGCAGUGAGGGGGUCAGGUUUCCCUUUUCUUUAUGCUCCAUUUCACCCUCUUCAGGUGGACAGUGAUGAUGAUCAGGAUGAUGUGAUGGGAAGUCUUCUUGGUUGUUGCUCGAUUUCUUAUUUCUUCUUGGUCUUUAGAAAACUAACUGUAAUCGAAUUAUGUUUUUUUACACCUAUUUUGGCAGUUUUCAUGUUUGACUGCACCUGCCAUCAUCAUACAUAUCAGCCUAUUGGUGUGCAAAUCCGGAUAGCUGUAUAUGUGCAGGUGUGUGGCCCUGAUUUUUAACCCUGCUAAGUGUUGUUUUGGGAAACAUUUCAAAGUUGUCUAUAACCACCACUGAAAAUUGGCUACAAAGUCAGGGUUUCUUUCUCAACUAUCUGGAGACAGACAUAGUCAGUCAUCCGGUUUUCCACCACCUCUGCCCUCUAUCAAUGAAUGUCAGGGGUCUUUUUUACCUUUAUAGUCUGAGCUUCAAGACCAAAGUCCCAGACUUCUUUCACAACUUCUGUGGGGAAUGUUUAAAUCUGUGCUCUUUAUGGUGCCUCGAAACCUUCAAACGCCAAGCUACUGUGGCCAGCAAGGUCAGAUGAUCUGCAAUCAUUUGACUGGUUAACAUGCGGAGAAAACACUGCACAUGUUCAGUCAGUGCACAUUGAGAUAACACAUGCAUGAGUCCCAUUUAACCAAAGCUUGUUAGCACCACUUUUCUCUAACUUUGACCUUUUUUCAUGCAGUAAGUUCUAUUGCAGGUAUGGCUGUGUUCUGAGAGAGCUUCCUGACCUUCCCCAUGCGUAUGUGGGAUGCCAAACUCUUUAAUAAUUAUAAUAAAGAUAAUAAUUAUAAUACAUGUUAUUUAUAUUGCGCUUUACAGCUGAUAAAACAGAUCUCAAAGUGCAUACAGUGAAAGGCAAGCUGCUUUCCAAAAUUUAAUUUGUUAUAAUAGAUUUCUAUGUCAAAGGGAUGUAAACCACAUCUGUAAAAUAACAGAAAAAUGCUUCAGGAGUGAAAGUAAUCACUUUCACUCCUGAAGUUAACUGUUUAUUAAAAAUAGUAAGAAAAAGAGGUGUCUUAAAACACCAAGAUGCAUUUUUAUAUUUUAAAGUGGUGACAUUAGGUCUUAAUGUCUGAAAAAUAAUUCUUUCUUCUUCUUUUUGUUUUUUUUUUAACUAGAAUUUUAUCCGGCUUAGAAAUCCCGGUCAGAGCUCACUGAGGGUGGAUAGAGAUUUUGUAAGACUGGGACUUUCUGUUGCGUUUAUUCAGAGUUCAACUUAAAUCUUGUCAAAGUCAAAUAAAUAAAACACUCAUGGAAGAGCAUCUCUGAAGCUCUGUGCUCAACAUGUGGUCUGACACUGGUUUGCGUUGUCCGUGCUGAAACAGCUGUUGAAAUAACAGUUGGUGGUUUCAGUGGGAGUUUCUUACUGGAACUGUUUGUGGGCGGCUGAAUACCAUCAGUGCCCACAGCUUUUGGUUUGGGUUUCUAAACAAACAAGUUUACAUAAAGCUUCAAACCUCACAGCUGCACCAGGAAACGACACACAGUCACUGCUGUGUGUACCUAUAAACCAAAAUAAGAAUGAGCUUACCUUUCUGUCUGGGGUUUGAUGUAACAAAGACUCUGUGUGCAUGUCGUUGAGGAACCUUGAAUGUUUGUGAGGCAGUAGUUGAACUUUUGAUGCUGGGUGUAACAUCUUUACUCGUAUGAAUGGGAAGAGAGAAAAAAAACACAGGAAUUUCAGCAGAGUCAUCCUCCUGUAAAUUCCCCUGAUGCAAUCAUCAGAUAUGUAUGUCAUUACGGAACUUUCUGUCACUUUCCAGGAAUCCCUUGGACAAUGAAAUAUUUUGCAGCAGCAAAUCUUCAACAGGGAUCCUCUAAAAACAGGACAGAAACCUCAUCUAGUUCACAGCAGUGAGCUGGGAGGAGAAGAGGGGGUUUAGAGACAUACAAACCAUGUUUGAACUGAUAAUGAGGUAAAUAACUCAAAGGAUAGUUCAUUAAGAGAGCACAGUGACAGUAUAAUCAGAAAUAACAUGUAUAUUGCAAGAUUAUCUUUUUUCAUUUAUCCUUUAGGCUCUAUGACUUUAUUUUGAAAGGACAGGGCAGCAGACGGAGCAGGAAACAGGGAGUGACAUAUAGGAAAAGGCUGCAGGCUGGAAAGAAACCUGGGAAAUCCACUUGAGAAUCAUGACCCCUGUGCAAUGGAUUCAUGCUUAGACUGCUUGACUAUUGAUGCCUCGCUACAGGGACAUUUUUAUUGUUUCUAUUUUAUUUUGCCAGUUUAAAAUUCAAAACUGGGUUUAAACAUUUGGAAUUGUUACGUUCUGUAUCAUCAGACAGUUUUUAAAUAUCCAACCUGAGUUGUUUGGUUUGUCUUGGGAUUUUGAAGUUAUAUCACAAUCCAUACCAAUAAAGUUGACUGACAAUCAUAGUUUAAAAGUCCAGAAGUGAUCAAUCAAGCUCAAAUAACUUUUCCUGUCAAUAGUUAUGCAUGUAUCUAAAGAAAGUUUAAGUUAAAGUAUCUACAGAAAGAAACUCAUCCUGCCUGAUAACUUCCUCCUCACUUCCUCCUUACUCUAAAAAGUGUAACUGGGCAAAAUUAAUAUUUACAAAUGAAAUACUGAUAACCUAGAAAAAUGACUGUGUACAGUUUGGGAAAUUAUUAUGUUAAUCUAAUCAAUUUUGAAUCAUUUAUCAGUUGCAUUUUUCUUAUUUUUAUUGUAAUAAUAUGAGCUGAAAAUCACAGUAUAAUUCACUUAUAAUUUAUCAGUUAAAUCAACAAUGUUCAAAAAUAAAUAAAUGCCACUCAGUGGAAACUAUUUGGUUUUAAUCCCCGUACACUUCAAAUCUAACCAAUCAUAUGAAGUGCCAUCUGUUGCCUUCAUUUUUUUUAAGUAGACAAUGGUCAGACUUUUCUGAGUGUACCAAACUUCACCGGCAGAGCUCUGAACAGAGAGACUUCAAGGUGAGAGAUGAAUUUUCACUCAGCUCUUUCACAGUCUGAUCCAAACACACUCUAAAAUUCAGUGUAAAGAAACAGCCAAUCUAUCGGUGUUGAGCUCGUCAUGUUAUAUAGGUCAUAGUCCAAGAGUAAUUGGUAAACAUGGUCUCAGAGUGUUUCCUUGUUCUCCGUGUGUAAAGAGUCUGAGUGCACACUGUGUGUAUUUGCCUGUGUAUUUGCCUGGAAAACAAAUGUCCAUUAUCUUGAGACAGCUCAUGCAAAAGUUAAGGAAAGCAGCCGCCCUGAAGUUGAGUUGUUGUUAGUUUGAGCUUAACAGACUGAAGUGGGGGAGUCAUGUGACAACCUGCAGAGUGGAGAAGAUAAAAACGAGUCAGUUUCUACUGAUGAAGCACAACUCAGAAGUGUUAAACAGGAACAGACAGCUACAGUGCUGCACAGGCUUAAAACAAUGUAAUUCCAGAGGCAAAGUUUUUUCUGAAAUAUAUGCGAUAUGAUAUUUCAGUCUCCUUCAGCAGGUUAAAUGUAAAGGUAAAUAAAUGUUUGUCGAUUAAUACAAAUACUUUCCCUCCUUGUGCUGCAUGUUUCAGCACAGUUCACACAGUCUUAUAUGUCUCUGUGGUCUUUCCAUACAUGAAAACUUCAUUUUCUGCUCAGUUAUUUUAUUUUUGUGCACAAGAAAUGACUUACAUUAUUACCAAUAAAAACACACACCUACAGUAUUUGUUGUUGCACACAAAACCUGGAGAAAAAUCUGUGCUGUACAAACAGGGCUGAAAUGUUCCUCUAUCUGAUGUUCUCUAUAACCUGUGGCCACCUUCAGUUUUCAUGCACUUGUUUCAUUUCUAUUGUAACGUGCAUUCAAACAGGCAGCCCUCUCUCCACACACACACCACCAUCUAUACAGACCCGUCUGUGCAAACAGGGCGAGACGACUCUUAAUGUAGCGUGAAGCCUGACAGCCAAACAUCAGCGAGGUCACAAACAGCAGCUAAAGCAAUUUCCUGCGAGUGCUCGGCAGCUCCUUUGAAUAGCUCAUUCACAGACAUGAUUUGGAUGCAAAUAAAAGCUAACAAUGCUCAGUGUGUUUGUGGAGGGGCUGCUGGAUGGAAAACAACUUUUUAAAUACUCUUUUUUUUUUUUUUUUUUUUUUUUUACUUUAUGUGCUUGUAAAAGAGAUUAUAAACUUUAAUGUCCACCAAACGACAAAGCUGUAGGGAGAAAAUCUGACAGAAACGUGCUUAAAAACAGCCGACAGAAGAAAUAAUGGACAGAAUAAAUGACCCAUACUGUUUUAAAUGAGCAGACUAAAGCAACAAAGUGAAGAUAAAUCAGUCAGAGCGGCUCCCUGAUCAUUAUGGAUCUGCAAAUAUUUGAAAAUGACUGUACACAAACAGAGUUCAAUAGAUGUUAAACAUGUUCACUUAUGGGCUGUGAAACAUUUUUUUUAAACUUCAAAUAGCAGUGUUUUCUCAUUGUUGAUUUGAGAACACAAUUAUCAAUAAAUAUCAAAUGGUACAUCAGUUUCAGUAGACUGUGAUUCUUUUUGUAAGCCAAGAAGAGUUGAAAUAAAAGAUUUAUAAGAUAGAAAAAUAUAUAUUCUAUAUUUGUGGAUUAAAGGUGUAAUUCACCUUAUCUUUCAAAAUAUUGUUAAAAAAUCAUGCUAAUUUGUAAAUAGGCUGAUAGAACUGUGCUGUUAGUAACUGAGCUGUAAGUCUCUCAAUUUUAAGGAAAAUGCAACAUCAAGUAACUUAAACAGGACCGAUCAACGAUGCAGCCCCAGCUAGGCCAGUAUGUCAAACAAUUUUUUACAAUAGAUUAUGAUCCUGCUAUAGGAUGUUCCAGCGUAAAAUUAAGUCAGAGUCAAACACACCGUAACACCGAGUUAACACCCCGUCCAGAGAUAAAUAUUGCAGACGACUUGCUUCUCUAGUUAUACCAACUUUAGUAAUGACCGCAGAUAGUAAUACAACUGCUUGGGGAUGCGCAGCUAAAGGAAGAACAUUUAUGAUCAUUUCCUCAUGGAAAUGCAAUCAGACUGAGACACUAAGGCAGAAGAACUACUGUGUCUGCAGUGCAAAUUGAUUAAUAUGAUGAUUAUUACUCCAAGGAAAUGAAAAAGUAAUGAUCAGAAAUGUUCGUCUUUGAGCUGCGCACCCCAGCUGCAUUAGGCAAACUCACCCAGAGGUCUCCAUACAAACAAGCGGCUGCUGGAAGAAAGGAGGUGAGUUGUGUUUAGUCUCUUUGCUAAAGAAAUCAGGCAAAGUUAAAAAGAUAUUUGGUGGCUAGUACUAUGACUAGGACCCUAUAUGUACUGUUGAUGAAGGUAGGUGCUGUUCUGAGCAUUAUUUGUGACUAUAGAGUGGCUUUUUGGUUGAGCAUGUGGAUCUGCUGUCAUUACUAAAGUUGGUAUAACUAGAGAAGCAAGCAGUCGGCAACAUUCGUCUCUCGACAGGGUGUCUAACUCGGUGUAACCGUGUGUUUGACCCUAACUUAAUUUUACGCCGGAAAAUCCCAUGGAACAUCACCAUGCUAUAUUGACAGUCGAUUGUGAUAGUGGACCAAGAACCACAGGAUGUGUUAGGCUCAAGAGAGUGAUUUUUAUCUUCACUGUGGUUACAUGGAUGAGUGUGUUUAGUGAGGGCCAAGAGAUUAAUGGUAUGUAUGUGUGUGUGUAAGAGAAAGAGAGAUUGUCUACCCAAGACAAAAACACAGACCUAAUCUCUUUAUGAUUGGUGUCCAUGUGGAUCGAGGAUGACGGUGAAGGAUCACAGGAGCUUCUACGAGCUACAAAUCCAAGCUGUCCGAUAUUCCACCUCCAUACAGCUGGUUUAUGGCAGCCUUCAGCCUCUACCUCUGCACAUGGUGUCUCGCUAACAGCUUAUCUUUUACUACUGUGUGCCCAGCAUGCAGCAUUCUUGAUUUUAUACACCUCACAACAUGAUUAAGAAACGACAUCACCUGACAUUUAGGAAUAGCAUGCUUGAGCAGAGAGUCCAUAAAGGACUGCAAUGGAGAGGAGACUCUUAAGAUCAUCAGUGGCGUGGCUGCCUCAGCUCCCCCACAGUGAUUGUGAUUUGACACAUUACCUGACUCUUCAUCAGCAGACUGGCCAGGAAAGCUCAGUUUGUCAGUGAGCUACGGUAGGCUGUUGAUGAGCUGUACCUGGAUGUUUAGGUGAUUUCAUGUUAUUGUUGCAGAGAAAAGCUAUUGCCCAGAAACAUCCAGCAGGUGAUCCAAAUCAAGGGUUUCGUGUCUGAGUUUCAGGAUAAAUCUUGCAAGCAUCAAGUACAGCACAAAAAAAACCCUUUACAACCAUGGUAACAUUAAUUCAAUCAAAGAUUGCACUUAAAUAUAUUGGAGAAUAUGUGCAUUAUAUGACAGUUAAUUUUUAACUUGGAUCCAGUCAGAGGGGGAAAUGUUCACCUCUGUCUUUAAUCCCUUAUACAGUCCAUGAUAACAGGAGUUUAAUAUGAGGCUUCUUUAAAGCGACAGCAGAGACUUGAUUCAAAUAAAAUCACUCCUGAGAUGGAUCCUGUGCAGGGCCUACAGCAAAAUAAUGUUUACACCCGCUUAACAACAUAUUUCAGCACAGUUAUGAAUCCAGCUGAUGAUAAAACACCAUCAUUUGCAUCGCAGCAUUUAAUACAGGUAUAAUACAACAUGCAGUGCAAGCCUGAGGCAGACAUUUAUAGCAUGUCAGCUAAGCUCCCUCCGGGCCUGUAACUGUUGAGGAACUCAUCCUGAAGCUUUUAACUAUCAUUAUGUUUAAUAUGCACACCUUGAUACUUUGCCAGCUUUAUUUAGAUAAGCUUCAAACGGCCUCAGAGCACAACAAAGUUGUCAGUAAUGUUGGAGAAACAUUCACUUUAGUGGAUCUGAGCGCACUUUGAAGCAGCACUGCCGCUAAGCGAGAGCGAAGAGAUCAGAGCUGAAAUUAAAGGCAACAGCAGAUCUUCGAAGGCUGUCUUCACUUUGUUUGUUUCUCCUCUUCCCUGCACACUUCAUUAAUCUCUCACUGAAUUCAGACCGGAGUUUGUUAAAUAUCACUCGACAUUUAUUUAGGUUUCACAUUACUUCCUGAGCUACACUGAUCAGGCCGUUUUCAGGUCUGUCUGUGCUAUUAGGCUUUUUUUCCUCAAAGAUGAUCAGGAGUCAGGAAGUAAAACAAGAGUUAAGAAAACCUCAUUCAAAACCAGUUAUAUUUCCUUUUUAAUGAGAAUAAGAAGACUUCAGGGCCCUAUUAAAACUAUCUAAAACAUGCAGUGGUAUAAGCAGGUGUUACUAUUUACACAGCAGAUUUCAACCUUUGCUGGGGCUGGUAGAUUGAACUAUGAGAACCAGUCUGCACACACAGUGGAGCUUCAUGUGCAGCUGAAAGUUUGACCUCUGCUUGGAUCACUGCUGUCAAUGGGAAACAAAGGGAUUUCUAGUGUUGUUGAAGGUCACACUUACAGCUAGCUCAAGUUUCAUCCACACAGUUUAAAAUGACGAGUUCAUGUUCAUUUUGUUUUAGCUGCACCUAAAGUAUCCAUCAGCAGAGCCUCAUAGACCUUCAUUCCUAAUCCUCAAUCACUAAAACUUUAAAGUUUUAUCAAAUUCUACUGUAGAAUCACAGACAGAAAUUUAGUAUAGAAAACCAAGAAAAUUAUUUUUCAGUGUGUCUCACCAAUCAGUCAUGGUGAUAAAUCUGAAACACUGAACAAAGACAAUCUCAAAAAAGCUGUACCUCUCUGAAACCAAACAAGGUGUGAUUGGUCCUGGUUUACACAUGAAACUACUUAAAAUCCUCCGUAAAGAGCUGCUUCAUCAGUACCCCUUAUUACAUCUACUGGAAGACAGAAGUGCGUAGCAAUGGGCGAUGUACAUAUGUCUAAGUUUGACUGUCACAACACAACAUUUAGUAACUCUUGACACCUCCUCGGGUCCAUUUAGAAAGUGGGCGGUGUUUCUGUAAUUUUAGCAGGAGUUACGCUCACAUUCUUGUUCAUGGAUUGGGAAAUGAGCUGCUCCAUUCACCAAAGUGUUAGCCUGUUUAGUGUACAUGUUCAUUUUAGCACGUUCACGCACAUCACUGGGGAUCUCAUCAGCAAAGUUUUUUUUUUUUUUUUCACAGACUUACAGUUUGAUAUUUCACCAUCCAAAGUAGCUCCAUGGGUGCACAGUUACACCUGGCACCUUGUCACAGACUUAGAAUCUCAAAUCUCAGUGUUUAUGAUCGUACCAGUUUGGUAUUUGUUCUUCAUCAAGUAUUUCUCAAACUUUUAACAGUUUGUAAACUCAGUUAAAUAUUAUAAACUGUCAGAGACAGGGGCAGGAUUGAACUGAAUUUACUCUAUUCCCUUCUAUCCUGAAGCUGUUUGCUCGCAAGAACAAACACAUCUGGAAAAUUUGGGUUUUUAAUUCCAUUUAUUAUAAAAUUUGUUGAAAAGAAACUUAAUAAUCCUGUGUCCUCUUGUCUUGGUUUCUUACACAAGUAGGUAGCUGUAUUUGAUAAAUAACAAUCACUCUGAGGUCGCUUGAAGUAUCCUGCUCUAGUCCAAUGUUAUACUCCAGCUAACACUCUAUUUCAAAGCAGAGUCCCCUCCUGACUCAGGACCUGCUGUUUUGGUUCCAGGUGUCUUUGAAGAAUCUCAGGUUGAGGUGUCCACUUCCUGGAUCCUUCAAAGAGGACUGCUGCUCAGCGUCACUCUCUCCUUAAUGAAUAUCUGAACAUCACAGAGCCUUCCCAGCACCAGGAGCAGGUGUGUGGCGAGGAGGCCGGGAGUCCCUGCUCUCCUGAAAAACUGUUUCAUCAAAUGUCAGAGGACUGUGAACAUCUGUCCGCCUCCAUCAGCGGGGCCUGGUGUUCUUUGAGGUUCCUGUGCUUCUGCAGAACUCAUCUAUUCGCUCAGACCUGCAGACAGCGACAGGAGCGUCCUCUCUGCACACUCUCUGCUCUAAUAGAGUAAACAGCAGCGGAUAUCUGACGAAUAUUUGAGUCUGUUUACAUGCAGCAUCAAAAGUAAACUACAACAUGUCCAAAAAGUUAGGAAUCACAGGGAAUGGAACAGUUUCCAGCGCUGCACGUGGGACCUGAACACAGGUUUGCAGCAGGAGAUGAGAAACCCUGAAGCCUCACUUUGCUCAGCUGUUUGACAGCCGUUAUGAGGAGAAGGCCGUGAACAUAUGGACCUAUUUAUCCAUCUGAAUCCAAACACUUCUGACACUGUUUAACAUCAUCUAUUGGCUCGUUCUGCACUUCUUAAACUGACAUGAGGAACGGCUGUACCAAUAACGAUCAAAUCAGAGCAAAAUUAACACUAUUCCAACAUUUAUUGACUCAAGAUUACUCUGCUAAUCACUGCUUUACUUAGAGUCAGAGAAACAGCUUUUCAUCUUCAACAUAUGGAGAAAGUGAAGUAUGACGGAUGACAUGAAUGUUAUCUUAGUAGUUAGCAAGAAAUGUCAAAAAAAUUAAGCUUUAUUGGUGUCUCUUCUUAUAGUAAGUACAGAAAAAAUGUGAUUAAACUUUUUAAAGAUUUAAAUGAUACUGGAAGCUUACCUAAGCAAAAAACAAAGAGAUUUAAUGGCAUUGUUUGCCAUGCAGUGCACAGAGUGAGAGCCAAUCAGCUCCUCUGGACUGGUUGAAAGGAGUUCUGAUAUGUUGGAAAUUUUGAUUAGCCAAUAGCGUCCUCUCAGGCAAGAUUUAUUUGACCAACUUUAGAGGCCGUAUAACCAAACAGACAAUUGAAAAAAUGCUCAUAGUUACAAGUUUUUAAGAAAGUUUGAAGAGAAUUGUGAAAUUUUCUAAGGCCUGUCCACACAGUUGCUGAUAGUUUUGUAAACCUUUUUUUUAUAUGUUUUGGCUUCCUAUCCAAACAUAAACGUUGUUUGCAUGGAGGUUGAAAAUGGAGGUUUCUUUUUAGUCAUUUAGUGUAUAGAAAAUAUGAAAAUGAUAGUAAAUCUUGGUUUUCUUGUUCAUGCUGAUUGUCAUGCCAGUGUGCCAAGAUGGCAGGCUGCUGGUUUGUCUAAAAUAGAACACACACUACAAGAUAACUACACCAAUUUUGGGCCUAAUUCUUUUCUUCCAAGAAAGGUCAGCAAAACUCUGAUUAUCACAUGGUGGUAAAGAUUAUCUUGACAGAUUAUUUUGCAGUGUGAGGUGCCUUAAGGGAUUUUUCUACUCUCUAAUCUGUGUGACAGACUGCGCUUGUUGAUACACGUAGACAACACCAGUGUUAAAAACAUAUGCUGUUUUCGGCGGGAGAGUCGCUGUGAUGACACUCAGUUCAAAUAGCGAAUCCCCCAGGUGAGCUACACAAUCUUUGUACGCACAUAGGCUGUGUCAAUCAUAGAAAACAUGAACCCCUUAAUAACUUUUUAAAAUGGAGCUGCACAGAAAAAAAGGACUUGAGCACAAACCAGUCUCACAGUAACUACAUGUCAACAUCGUAACCAGGGGGGAGAAAAAUUUAUAUUCUGUGUCAUAAAUUUCUAAAGUUUGUCCACAACUCUAUAGGGAUUGCUGGAGGAGGCGGGAUUUAUGACCUAUACUGCGGUCCAUCACCAGAGGGUGCUGUUCUCGCAGUGGCUCCACCAAGCUAGGAGGCAGACGGCGUCCAUUCUAUAUACAGUCUAUGGUUAAAACAGUCCAGUAAAAUAUAUCACAGCUGAAAUGACAAGAAGAGGAGUUAAAUAUCAUAAAUAAUAAUUGCUUCCUUAAUGUAAGUGCCAGAAAGUUAAGCAGCUAUUAGUGGUAAGCUCCAUUCAAAAUCAUGAUAUUUAAUGAGAAACUACUAAUUUAUCAGUUAUGAGAGUCAGGACUCAAGUCGCUGGUGAAAAGGGUCCAUUUGUGUGUAGUGUGCUGUGUUUACCAUCUUGUUGCACAUGACACACAACAGGAACAAAACUAAGACAUCUUACCUCAUGUUUGUAAUAUGUGUUUCAUUGACUGUGUGUAUAAUUUUAUACGAUAUGCCAGCAUCAGGAGGAUAUAUGGUGACUUUACACUCAUUUUGGGGCCUUUUCUUUAGAAAUAUGAUGAUGCAUUGCCCCUGUAAAUGUCUGUGCAUGUCCCUGCCUUUAACAGUAGGACUGUGGGGAGUGCUGGUGACUCCUUUUAACUGGAUCUAACUGUCGGCUCAGCCUGCAUGUAAAGUUCAUCCAGUCCUCAGAGGAGCAGAGAGCUGCCAUAAAGCCUGAGCAGCUUUACCACCAGAGCCUCUGUCCUCCAUCUGUGUGACCUCAGAGCUCAGACUGAGGAAAAACAACAAUAAACCAACAAUCCUCCCUCUGUUAACAGUCAUCUGUGAAGGUCAUGAUGCUGCUUUAAUCCUAUUGGCUCCAUCCAUCCAUCCAGCAGUGCCCGGCUGGCCUGACUCUGCCUCUGUCUGUCCAUCCCUCAGGCUGGCUCCUGCUCUGUCCUUGGAUGGUGUGUUCACACUGCACAGCUAGUGUGAGCACAGCAUCCACACAUGCACUGACACACAUGCACACAGUGACACAUGUGCACAUGCAACGCACACGCUCAGAUCAGUCAUGGCCCCGGGGAGCCAGAGGUGCGAGCCAGAGGCGUUUCUAUCUCGUACAGCUCUAACAGCCACUGUGUUUAUUCCUGGACCAGUUUAACACCUCCUGCUUCCCUCUCCCCAUCCACCCAUCCACUCAUCCAUCCACAGCCCACUGGGAGAGAGAACGCAGGAGGGUGGUGGUGUGAAAACACUGAGCAUGCUCUAUGACACAUAUGCCUGCCUGUGUCAUCCUGUGCGUGCGUGUGUGCGUGCGUGCGUGCGUGCGUGUGAGAGAGAGAGAGAGCUUUCAAAGGAUCUGAGCUGGGGUUUGAUUUCCUCUCACCAAACCCUCCAACAUCACUGGGUGCUAUUCUUAUCUCAGCAGUUGGGAUGAAGGAAGAUUGCUCGCCAUUUGUCCCUCCUGAUUGGACGUCAGGCAGGAUAAACCCUCCUAUCACCGCCUCAGGCCUGGCUAAGCACCCUUAGACUCAGACUGUGUCGCUGGAUAAAGUGAUAUGUGCUCCAGCAAGCAAAGCUAACACUGAUACUCCAGUUUGUGAAGCAUGAAUACAAUACCUUUGACCGGAAUUCAAUUUAGAGGGGAUUUCUUUCAGUGAUAGUUCAAAUGAAAGGAAUUCUGUGUAUUACUAUUGCAGUGUGAUGGAUGGCUUCACCACCCUCUUGCAGUCUUGGUCAUUUACAGUGUCUUACAUCACGUGAAGUGGUAAUCUGCUCUGUGCUAUAACCAAGCAAAAUGUGACAUUCAUUUUGGAAAUCAUGGACGCUGCACUCUCCCCAUUGUUGAGAGAAGAAGGAUCAGCCAGCUUGGUAUCAGCUUUCAGGUCAGAGCCAGCAUCCCUUAUGGUUUGGGGAUCAUCAGAGUUGAAGGCUCCAUUAAUGCUGAACAACGUUUACAUAUUUAGGAACAUCUGCUGCCAUUCAGACAAUGAUAUUUUUUCAGGGAAGACCUUCAUAUUUUAGCAAGACCAUGACAAACCACAUUCCGACAACAGCAUGGCGCUGUAGAUGAAGAGUCCUGCUGAUAAACUGGUCCUAACUGGUCCAGGUGACCCACUGAUAAAAUUUGGAGCAUCAAGACACAAAAGUACCUUUUUUUAAAUGAAUUAAUUACUUUUUUAAAAUAUGUUAUGUAUUAUUUUUUUUUCACUUUCAACAUCUCUUACAUGUGUUUUCUAUUGUUUACAACUAGGUAAAGGCUUUAAAUAACAUGUAAACAAUUUCAUUAUUUUUUGACACAUGACAAAUGAGACUACAGACUGUUAAAUUUGCCUUCGGGGAUAAAUCACGUUAUUCUUAUUCUUACACUCUGUUUUCACACAACAUUUUAACUUUGAAUUUAAGGUUAUAUUUUCUAGUAGUUUUGUUGACGUUUAACUGCAUUGAUAUAAAAGUUUGUGAAGUUUUUGUAAAUGGAUGUUCAAGUUGAAGUAACUGUUCCUCAGUGAAAAAAUCACACCAAUUUCAACAAGUACCUUUCUUUUAAUUAUUGCAUCCACUUCUUGUUAAAGUAAUUUCCUGGUGGCUCUGUAUUGUACAUGUGAAGUGAAACAAGAUUAUUUCAGGGAAUAAUUUGCCAUCUUGUCUUCAAGUUGAUCACAAAUAUACAGACAAAAAUAAUAAAUACAGCAAAGGUUAUAUGCAACAAAUGCAAACAAACCCACAAAUGACUGAAAAAUUUGGCUUUACAUGGAUCUGUCUGCAGAAUUUCAGUUAGACAAGCCAUGUAGUGGAAAGUGUCUCACCUGUAACCUAUGAAAGUCUGCUUGUUUCUGUGAUUCAGAGCCCUGUCGCUAUGUGAGGAUUAAUCUGCAGAGACUGUUGGACCUGACUCUAAAAUAGAGCCAACUGGUAAGGGAAAGACUGCAAAAAGUCUGUCCUAAUGUGGACCGAACACUGUCCCCAACCUUUCCUCCAUGAUGGAUGGAGAGGAGCUGCAGGUUGACCACAGGUCAGCAUCAUCUCAGCUCUUUCACUGCUCAGACACUGCAGAGAAGAAACCAGGACAUGGAGGUUAACAUCUCAUGUCUCUGGUUCCAGGUUUGGUCUGAAUACAUCGCUCUUAUCUGUGACCUGUUCUCUGUAUUGAUUAUUUCUGCCCAUCAGUGCAGCAGAGCAGGUCCAAUCAAACCUUAAUGCACGGCUGGAAGUAAACUAACCCUGUUAGAGUCUAAAUUUAGUUCAUAAAAAGCUGCUCAGUCACAGCGGGGAAUGCUCUGUGUGGUACUCUGAGGUAAAUUCAGCCCCAAAAAAUUGAAAAAUAAAAAACUCUGUAAAUGUCUAACUAAAAACACUGUUAUCUGCUGCCAAUGAUCAGUCAGGCUGCAGUUUGGAGACAUCAGUUAUUCCCAGAGUGACAGUGGAAAUGUGGCAGAGGGAUGAACUGGCCUUUUUUUUAUAUUAACCUGAAAACAAACCAGAACAUAAAUAGACCACUGUUCAACAGGAGGGGUCUCAUUUGUUUACAGGCCCGACGGAUCACCCAAGAGCAUAUUUCUGUCCCUGUUGGUUUGGAAAGCACGGUGCUGUCAGCAGGAGACAUGGAUACACACUGAGCAGAAAAGAUGAUCGAUCCAUCGUGACAUGGGGAUUUUCAGUUUAGAGUCAUGGAUAAACUGUGACACUGUAAACUGUGGUUAACCUUAAGCAGCAUGAGAGUGCAAAAGUGUUUCCAUGUUUUUUGUUUGUUUGUUUGUUUGUUUCAGUUUCUAACUAGGAAAAUGGGCUCUAUUUUCGUGAGCCCAUCAAGAGAUGUGUGAAGACAGUAAUGCCACACGAUAGCGACAGAAGGCAGUUCCUCAACAAGUGUCGCAAAAAAUGUGUUCACCUAAACACUGACGCGUGGACACCAUUGGAACGCAAUAAGUUAUUGCAUAUAAAUUCUUGAGUUAUAAUUUUAUUUGAGAAUAAGCAGGUACCUUGGAUUCCCUACAUUAAUUUCCAAGGAGCUUUCCGGUCUUCAGUCUGUGUCAUUUGAAGUUGACUCUGAUCUGAUUUUGUGCACGACAAACAACACACCACUGUGCGUUGUUUUUCUGGCCAGUGUACACAGGGUCAUGGGAGCCGAUCAGCUCUUCUUGAGCAGUCAGAUGAAUUUCGAGCAUAUCUGCAAAUUUGGUCGGGUUACUGUACCCUCUCUCUCUCUCUCUUAUUCACAAUGAGGGCAGGGAUACAACCUGAUUUACCCAACUUCUGGUCUGCCAGUGUCUGAAAAUGCCAUGGCGACGGACUUCAAUUUUUGAAACCCUAAACUCUAAGACAAAACUACAAAGGAGUCGUAAUACAUACAACAGAGGCAGACCAGCAACAAUACAGACAAUACACUCUAAAUGAUCAAUGACAAUUUAAAUGAAAAGAGAUGUAUAAGAAUGUGGCAUGUCAGUGUAACUUCAAUAGUUAUUCAAAAUUGGGGACAUGCCAUCAGUGUGGGACAGUAUUUACUUGAGUGUUUCACAUUUAAUAGAAACAUGAUGGUAACACUAGAGUGGAGGCAGGCAGAGCAAAGUCCUCCUCUUCCCUCAUACAAGCAACUAUACUGUUGAAUUCAUAGUCUUUGUAUUAAACUUGUGGGACAUUUUGUAGGAGACACUGUCAAAGCUGCUUCAUGAUUUCUACAUGAUGUGUGAGUGCAUGAAUCAGCCAUGCAUUGUAAACAUUUCACUUUUACAGUGUGAGUUCACACCAUGACUGUUAAAAUCCUAAAUUUAAUACCAGGCCUCACAUAAACUAUGACCUGAACAACCAUGGGUUCCGAAAAUCUUAGCAAAUUCCACCUCAGUACUGUUAAAAAAAACUCUCCUCUUAAGUUUGUUUUCAGAUGACUUUCUGCUCUCAACAGUCUUGUUGCCAUAGUGAUGGAUUCCAUCUCCCGACAAACCACACCCCCUUUCCCCAUUUCCAAAAAAACAGUUACUGAAAAACCAUCAGAAACACUGGUUUGAGGGGGAGUUUAAGUGUAUUUACAUGCUGCUGGAAAUGCCAAAAACAUGACUGUGUUGUGUGCAUGAACACACACACAUACUCACACAGAAACACAAACAUGCAUGCACUCUCACACUCACACACACAAACACACGUGCAUUCACACACACACAUUCCUUUUCAUUUGCAGCUCUACUCAAUCCAGAUGUGGCUGUCGGACAAACACAGACUCUGAAUGGGUUUGGCAGAAAGUGUGUGUGUGCGUGUGUGUGUGUGUGUGUGUGUGUGUGUGUGUGUGUGUGUGUGUGUGUGUGUGUGUGUGUGUGUGUGUGUGUGUGUGUGUGUGUGUGUGUGUGUGUGUGUGUGUGUUUGUGUGUGUGAAUAACUGCAGAGAAUUUCUUGCUAUUUGACAGUAACUGCAAACAAUGGGUCUGACCUCCAAACUGCUGGCAGUAAAAUCCACAAAAAAACAUCCAACACUUUUAGAAAACACUCACCACCAUAUGCCUGAGGACUGUGUGUGUUUGUGUGUGUGUGUGUGUUUGUGUGUGCGUUUCUGCAGGUCUGCCAGGAACCUAUUAAUGACUCCCGUGCUGGCGGUGGCGAUUCUACAAAGCGAUGAAGGGGCCGUCGUUUCACUCUGCAAACUCCAGAGCUCCUAGAGGAGGCUCAGGACAAGGAGAGGAGGAUUGAGAGAGGAGAGAAGAGGAAAAAAUAGGUCACAGCUGUUCUCUAUCUUUUCCCAGCUCCCCUCCUCCCCAGCACACCCACCCACUGCAAGCUCUGCAGCCAACUGAACCCCAUCACACCACCCAACACACACA